GCAGUUAUGGUGAUGGACUGGAAAUCCGUUGGGUGUUGCUUGUGCAGGUAUAAAUCCUGCUGGCUGUG
Non-coding RNA from Pygoscelis adeliae (Adelie penguin), 68 nucleotides. The record is from Rfam. Lineage: Eukaryota; Metazoa; Chordata; Aves; Sphenisciformes; Spheniscidae.